This 492-nucleotide ribosomal RNA is filed under the name uncultured bacterium. Its description in RNAcentral is "partial 16S ribosomal RNA". It matches the Rfam family "Bacterial small subunit ribosomal RNA", at positions 29 to 507 of the family's 1533-position model. The record is from RNAcentral.
AGUGAACGCUGGCGGUAGGCCUAACACAUGCAAGUCGAACGGCAGCACAGUAAGAGCUUGCUCUUACGGGUGGCGAGUGGCGGACGGGUGAGGAAUACAUCGGAAUCUACUUUUUCGUGGGGGAUAACGUAGGGAAACUUACGCUAAUACCGCAUACGACCUACGGGUGAAAGCAGGGGAUCUUCGGACCUUUCGCGAUUGAAUGAGCCGGUGUCGGAUUAGCUAGUUGGCGGGGUAAAGGCCCACCAAGGCGACGAUCCGUAGCUGGUCUGAGAGGAUGAUCAGCCACACUGGAACUGAGACACGGUCCAGACUCCUACGGGAGGCAGCAGUGGGGAAUAUUGGACAAUGGGCGCAAGCCUGAUCCAGCCAUACCGCGUGGGUGAAGAAGGCCUUCGGGUUGUAAAGCCCUUUUGUUGGGAAAGAAAAGCAGCAGGUUAAUACCCCGCUGUUCUGACGGUACCCAAAGAAUAAGCACCGGCUAACUUCGUG